This 450-nucleotide ribosomal RNA is filed under the name uncultured bacterium. Its description in RNAcentral is "partial 16S ribosomal RNA". It matches the Rfam family "Bacterial small subunit ribosomal RNA", at positions 354 to 796 of the family's 1533-position model. The record is from RNAcentral.
GUGGGGAAUAUUGGGCAAUGGGCGCAAGCCUGACCCAGCAACGCCGCGUGAGUGAAGAAGGUUUUCGGAUCGUAAAGCUCUUUCGUUAGGGACGAACGUGCUCUUUGUGAAUAAUGAGGAGUAAUGACGGUACCUAAAUAAGAAGCCACGGCUAACUACGUGCCAGCAGCCGCGGUAAUACGUAGGUGGCAAGCGUUGUCCGGAAUUAUUGGGCGUAAAGCGCGCGCAGGCGGGAUAUCAAGUCUGUCUUAAAAGUGCGAGGCUCAACCUCGUGAGGGGACAGAAACUGGUAUUCUUGAGUGUCGGAGAGGAAAGUGGAAUUCCAAGUGUAGCGGUGAAAUGCGUAGAGAUUUGGAAGAACACCAGUGGCGAAGGCGACUUUCUGGACGAUGUCUGACGCUGAGGCGCGAAAGCUAGGGGAGCGAACGGGAUUAGAUACCCCUGUAGUCC